This 554-nucleotide ribosomal RNA is filed under the name Aspergillus niger. Its description in RNAcentral is "eukaryotic LSU rRNA". The stretch from base 173 to 326 matches the Rfam family "5.8S ribosomal RNA". Lineage: Eukaryota; Fungi; Ascomycota; Eurotiomycetes; Eurotiales; Aspergillaceae. The record is from RNAcentral.
UCUUUGGGCCACCUCCCAUCCGUGUCUAUUGUACCCUGUUGCUUCGGCGGGCCCGCCGCUUGUCGGCCGCCGGGGGGGCGCCUCUGCCCCCCGGGCCCGUGCCCGCCGGAGACCCCAACACGAACACUGUCUGAAAGCGUGCAGUCUGAGUUGAUUGAAUGCAAUCAGUUAAAACUUUCAACAAUGGAUCUCUUGGUUCCGGCAUCGAUGAAGAACGCAGCGAAAUGCGAUAACUAAUGUGAAUUGCAGAAUUCAGUGAAUCAUCGAGUCUUUGAACGCACAUUGCGCCCCCUGGUAUUCCGGGGGGCAUGCCUGUCCGAGCGUCAUUGCUGCCCUCAAGCCCGGCUUGUGUGUUGGGUCGCCGUCCCCCUCUCCGGGGGGACGGGCCCGAAAGGCAGCGGCGGCACCGCGUCCGAUCCUCGAGCGUAUGGGGCUUUGUCACAUGCUCUGUAGGAUUGGCCGGCGCCUGCCGACGUUUUCCAACCAUUCUUUCCAGGUUGACCUCGGAUCAGGUAGGGAUACCCGCUGAACUUAAGCAUAUCAAUAAGCGGAGG